AUUGAACGCUGGCGGCAUGCCUUACACAUGCAAGUCGAACGGCAGCACGGGAGCAAUCCUGGUGGCGAGUGGCGAACGGGUGAGUAAUAUAUCGGAACGUGCCCAGUCGUGGGGAUAACGUAGCGAAAGCUACGCUAAUACCGCAUACGAUCUAUGGAUGAAAGCGGGGGAUCGCAAGACCUCGCGCGAUUGGAGCGGCCGAUAUCAGAUUAGGUAGUUGGUGAGGUAAAGGCUCACCAAGCCGACGAUCUGUAGCUGGUCUGAGAGGACGACCAGCCACACUGGGACUGAGACACGGCCCAGACUCCUACGGGAGGCAGCAGUGGGGAAUUUUGGACAAUGGGCGCAAGCCUGAUCCAGCAAUGCCGCGUGCAGGAUGAAGGCCUCGGUUGUAA
This 395-nucleotide ribosomal RNA is filed under the name uncultured bacterium. Its description in RNAcentral is "bacterial SSU rRNA". It matches the Rfam family "Bacterial small subunit ribosomal RNA", at positions 30 to 428 of the family's 1533-position model. The record is from RNAcentral.